This 261-nucleotide unclassified non-coding RNA is filed under the name Hevea brasiliensis (rubber tree). The record is from RNAcentral. Lineage: Eukaryota; Viridiplantae; Streptophyta; Magnoliopsida; Malpighiales; Euphorbiaceae.
GCUAUUUCAUUAUAACAACUUCACCAUUGUUCGUACUCCUUAACCCAAAAUUACAUCUUCAUCUUCACUGUCCUCGAUAUCUUUUUCCGAAGAACAACAAAAAUAAAUAAACUAUUCAGAUCAACCUCACUCACCCCACAACCACCGCGCUGCCGGUCCUGACCGGAAUCUCCUUCUUCAUCGACGUCGACACCUUCUUCCCCCUCGCCGGCUCACCGCCCCUCCUCUUCACCCCCGUCUCGUCGAUCUCGAUCUGCUCCU